AACGCACAUUGCACUCUCUGGUAUUCCGGAGAGUAUGCUUGUUUGAGUAUCAGUAAACACCUCAAAUCUCUUUUUUAUUAAAGAGAAUUGGACUUGAGCAAUCCCAACUCUUUGCAAAAAGGGGCGGGUUGCUUGAAAUGCAGGUGCAGCUGGACAUUCUUCUGAGCUAAAAGCAUAUUUAUUUAGUCCCGUCAAACGGAUUAUUACUUUUGCUCUAGCUAAUAUAAAGGUCGAAUGUGCUAUAUGCUGACUGAUGCAGGAUUACCAAGUUUUACUAGCUAAAACUUGUAAACUCGAUCUCAAAUCAAGUAAGACUACCCGCUGAACUUAA
Molecule: unclassified non-coding RNA, 331 nt
Filed under: Mortierella sp.
Lineage: Eukaryota; Fungi; Mortierellomycota; Mortierellomycetes; Mortierellales; Mortierellaceae
Also listed under: 3 other names
Description: partial contains 5.8S ribosomal RNA, internal transcribed spacer 2, and large subunit ribosomal RNA
Source: RNAcentral